GGGAUUAUAGCUCAGUUGGUUAGAGCACCACGUUGACAUCGUGGGGGUCAUAGGUUCGAGUCCUACUAAUCCCACCA
Molecule: transfer RNA, 77 nt
Filed under: Clostridiales bacterium
Lineage: Bacteria; Bacillati; Bacillota; Clostridia; Eubacteriales
Also listed under: 4 other names
Description: tRNA_Val_GAC
Rfam family: tRNA
About the family: Transfer RNA (tRNA) molecules are approximately 80 nucleotides in length. Their secondary structure includes four short double-helical elements and three loops (D, anti-codon, and T loops). Further hydrogen bonds mediate the characteristic L-shaped molecular structure. tRNAs have two regions of fundamental functional importance: the anti-codon, which is responsible for specific mRNA codon recognition, and the 3' end, to which the tRNAs corresponding amino acid is attached (by aminoacyl-tRNA synthetases). tRNAs cope with the degeneracy of the genetic code in two manners: having more than one tRNA (with a specific anti-codon) for a particular amino acid; and 'wobble' base-pairing, i.e. permitting non-standard base-pairing at the 3rd anti-codon position.
Source: RNAcentral